Molecule: ribosomal RNA, 253 nt
Filed under: uncultured bacterium
Lineage: Bacteria
Description: partial 16S ribosomal RNA
Rfam family: Bacterial small subunit ribosomal RNA
Source: RNAcentral
GACGAACCGUCCAAACGUUAUUCGGAAUCACUGGGCUUACAGAGUUCGUAGGCGGUCUGGAAAGUUGGGUGUGAAAUCCCUCGGCCUAACCGAGGAACUGCGCUUGAAACUACCAGACUCGAGGGAGAUAGAGGAAAGCGGAACUGAUGGUGGAGCGGUGAAAUGCGUAGAGAUCAUGAGGAAGACCAGUGGCGAAGGCGGGUCUCUGGACAGUUCCUGACACUGAGGCACGAAGGCCAGGGGAGCAAACGGG